UACGGAGGGUGCGAGCGUUGUCCGGAAUCACUGGGCGUAAAGGGCGCGUAGGCGGCCGCGUAAGCGUGUGGUGAAAGCCCGGGGCUCAACCCCGGGUCGGCCAUGCGAACUGUGCGGCUCGAGCACUGUAGAGGCAGAUGGAAUUCCGGGUGUAGCGGUGGAAUGCGUAGAGAUCCGGAAGAACACCGGUGGCGAAGGCGGUCUGCUGGGCAGUGGCUGACGCUGAGGCGCGACAGCGUGGGGAGCAAACAGG
RNAcentral lists this ribosomal RNA (253 nucleotides) under uncultured bacterium. RNAcentral's name for it is "partial 16S ribosomal RNA". It matches the Rfam family "Bacterial small subunit ribosomal RNA", at positions 524 to 776 of the family's 1533-position model. The record is from RNAcentral.